GAGCGAACAGGAUUAGAUACCCUGGUAGUNCACGCCGUAAACGAUGAGUGCUAGGUGUUAGGCCCUUUCCGGGGCUUAGUGCCGCAGCUAACGCAUUAAGCACUCCGCCUGGGGAGUACGACCGCAAGGUUGAAACUCAAAGGAAUUGACGGGGGCCCGCACAAGCGGUGGAGCAUGUGGUUUAAUUCGAAGCAACGCGAAGAACCUUACCAGGUCUUGACAUCCCGAUGCCCGCUCUAGAGAUAGAGUUUUACUUCGGUACAUCGGUGACAGGUGGUGCAUGGUUGUCGUCAGCUCGUGUCGUGAGAUGUUGGGUUAAGUCCCGCAUCGAGCGCAACCCUUAUUGUUAGUUGCCAUCAUUCAGUUGGGCACUCUAGCGAGACUGCCGGUAAUAAACCGGAGGAAGGUGGGGAUGACGUCAAAUCAUCAUGCCCCUUAUGACCUGGGCUACACACGUGCUACAAUGGCUGGUACAACGAGUCGCAAGUCGGUGACGGCAAGCUAAUCUCUUAAAGCCAGUCUCAGUUCGGAUUGUAGGCUGCAACUCGCCUACAUGAAGUCGGAAUCGCUAGUAAUCGCGGAUCAGCACGCCGCGGUGAAUACGUUCCCGGGCCUUGUACACACCGCCCGUCACACCACGAGAGUUUGUAACACCCGAAGUCGGUGAGGU
This 670-nucleotide ribosomal RNA is filed under the name uncultured bacterium. Its description in RNAcentral is "bacterial SSU rRNA". It matches the Rfam family "Bacterial small subunit ribosomal RNA", at positions 766 to 1436 of the family's 1533-position model. The record is from RNAcentral.